GACGAACGCUGGCGGCGUGCCUAAUACAUGCAAGUCGAACGCACAGCGAAAGGUGCUUGCACCUUUCAAGUGAGUGGCGAACGGGUGAGUAACACGUGGACAACCUGCCUCAAGGCUGGGGAUAACAUUUGGAAACAGAUGCUAAUACCGAAUAAAACUUAGUGUCGCAUGACAAAAAGUUUAAAGGCGCUUCGGCGUCACCUAGAGAUGGAUCCGCGGUGCAUUAGUUAGUUGGUGGGGUAAAGGCCUACCAAGACAAUGAUGCAUAGCCGAGUUGAGAGACUGAUCGGCCACAUUGGGACUGAGACACGGCCCAAACUCCUACGGGAGGCUGCAGUAGGGAAUCUUCCACAAUGGGCGAAAGCCUGAUGGAGCAACGCCGCGUGUGUGAUGAAGGCUUUCGGGUCGUAAAGCACUGUUGUAUGGGAAGAACAGCUAGAAUAGGAAAUGAUUUUAGUUUGACGGUACCAUACCAGAAAGGGACGGCUAAAUACGUGCCAGCAGCCGCGGUAAUACGUAUGUCCCGAGCGUUAUCCGGAUUUAUUGGGCGUAAAGCGAGCGCAGACGGUUUAUUAAGUCUGAUGUGAAAGGCCGGAGCUCAACUCCGGAAUGGCAUUGGAAACUGGUUAACUUGAGUGCAGUAGAGGUAAGUGGAACUC
RNAcentral lists this ribosomal RNA (659 nucleotides) under uncultured Leuconostoc sp. RNAcentral's name for it is "bacterial SSU rRNA". It matches the Rfam family "Bacterial small subunit ribosomal RNA", at positions 28 to 669 of the family's 1533-position model. The record is from RNAcentral. Lineage: Bacteria; Bacillati; Bacillota; Bacilli; Lactobacillales; Lactobacillaceae.